AGCACUCUUUCACAUGCUUUAAACUUACUACAAAAAUGAUAAAAGAAGAAAAAUGAUACCUUACUGGAGAUGAUAUUCAGUAAUUUGUGGAAUUUUUUUUUUUUUUUUUUUUUUUUUGAGAUGGAGUCUUGCUCUGUUGCCAGGCUGGAAUGCAGUAGUGUGAUCUCGAGUCACUGCAACCUCCGCCUCCUGGCUUCAAGUGAUCCUCCUGCCUCAGCCUCUCCAGUAGCUGGGAUUACAGGCACACGCCGCCACGCUCAGAAUGUGGCAGAAGUGAUGCUAUGCCAGUUCUGGGCUUAAACCUUAAUCAGGCCUCGAAACUGCUCUUCUGUCUGGAUGAAGGUAGAUAUAACAUAAGAACUACUGGUGACCAUCAUGCUCUGAGAAGCCAGCCUAACCAUGUGCAGAGGCCACAUGGAGGAAAACCGAGGCCGCCAGUCAACAGCCCUAGAUGAAUUUCCGGCUGCAAUCAGCACUAACCUGCCAGCUAUGAGUGAGGCCAUCUUUGAAGUGGAUCCCUCAGCCCCACUCAACCCACCCAGAUGAUGCCACAUGAACUGCUCCUGCCAAGCCCUGCCCAGAUUGCAGAAUCAUGAGAAAAUAAAUUUAAAAGACUUUGUUUAAGUCAGUAAGUUUAGGGUUAGUUUUUUUUUUGCACAGCAACAGAUAACCAAAGUAGAUAUCUCGUCUCAGCUUAAACACUUUUAGGAACAGAAGACUCCAUGCCUCAUAAAGUAAUCCAUUCUGUUUCUUAAUAGCAACAGUUAUUAGAACACUGUUCUCUAUAUUUAACCAAAAUCUGCCUUCCCGUCACUCACAACCUGUCUCUAUGGUAAAGUCAGUCUGUGUGCCUGCCACAUGGCAGCUCUUCCAGUUUUUUCAAAGAGUCGUGGUCUUUAUUCCCCACACCUCCAGUUCCCAUUGCACCCCGCACACCCAGGUUGCACAUGGACAAGUCUUUUCUUUCUAGACAUAAACAUCUCCAACUCCCUCAUGUCCUGAUUCUUUCCCUACACAGCUCAAACUCUUAUUAGUAAACCAGAUGCUACCUAGAAACACAUGUGGGACCCACAUCACUGUAUAAUAAAGUGAUACCAUCUAAAAGUGUUCCAGAGCGAAGUCAAGCAAUCUUCUCUACGCAUCCAGUUUGUCUUGUGGCUGGUGGGUAUGUGUGCACAUACGUAAGGUUAUUUUUGCUCUUGUUCUAAAAUAUUUCUGAGAGCAUGGGAAAUGGAAUUACUCUGGUAGAACCACAAAUUGAAUAACUAGACCAGAAUAAGUUAUGGGCCUUGCAUGUAUCUGAGAGAAAAUGGGUGGAAUGUUCAAUGUGGUCUCCCACAGCUGCAGAAUGUGAGCCUUUCAGUGUUUUCUUUGCCUUUCAAUACAUGGCUGCUCGGAAAUAUUUUUCUCAGAUAUUUACUGACUAGGCUGAGCAAGGGGGUUGGGUUGAUUGGAGGCAAGUAUGGAAGCAAGGAGAAGAGCUAGGGGCUUGCUGAAAGGAAGGCUGAAGCAGGCUGAGAACCAGAAUCACAGGCACAGGGAGGCCUAGGGCCUGGGUGUCCCAGUCCAGCCCUGGGGCAUCCACAGAAACAGGGCCUGUGAUGCUGCCUUCUGGAGGGGAAAACAAGCAGGGGGUGGGACUGUGUGAGCAAUGGAAGUUAAAAACUAACACAAGAACAGAAAAGCAAAUGCCACUUUUUCUCACUUAUAAGUGCGAGCUAAACACUGAGUACACGUGAACACAGAGAAGGGAACAACAGACAUCGGGGCCUACUGGAGGGUGGAGGGUGGGCAGAGGGUGAGGACUGAUAAACUACUUAUUGGGUACUAUGUUUAUCAUCUGGGUAAUGAAAUAAUCUGUACACCAAGCUCCUCCUACACGAAAUGUACCCAUAUAACAAAUCUGCACAUGUACCCCCGAAACUAAAAAAAUAGAAAAGGUACCCGAGGGAUGAAUGCAGAGCCUCGGCUGCUUGCCUAUGAUCUUCAUAGACCCUUGGGGACUCACCCAUGGAUCUCCAUGGACCCUCGGCUGCUCGCCCAUGAUCUCCAUGGACCCUCAGCUACUCACCCAUGGAUCUCCACGGACCCUCGGCUGCUCACCCAUGAUCUCCAU
Molecule: long non-coding RNA, 2116 nt
Filed under: Papio anubis (olive baboon)
Lineage: Eukaryota; Metazoa; Chordata; Mammalia; Primates; Cercopithecidae
Description: lncRNA (ENSPANG00000041354.1)
Source: RNAcentral